This 416-nucleotide ribosomal RNA is filed under the name uncultured bacterium. Its description in RNAcentral is "bacterial SSU rRNA". It matches the Rfam family "Bacterial small subunit ribosomal RNA", at positions 1001 to 1414 of the family's 1533-position model. The record is from RNAcentral.
CCGAAAGGCAGGAGUGCCUGCAAGGGAGCGCGGAGACAGGUGGUGCAUGGCUGUCGUCAGCUCGUGUCGUGAGAUGUUGGGUUAAGUCCCGCGACGAGCGCAACCCUCACCUCUUGUUGCCAUCAGGUCAUGCUGGGCACUCUAGAGGAACUGCCCCGGUCAACGGGGAGGAAGGCGGGGAUGACGUCAAGUCAUCAUGCCCCUUACGUCCUGGGCUACACACGUGCUACAAUGGCCGGUACAAAGGGAUGCCACACCGCGAGGUAGAGCUAAACCCAAAAAGCCGGUCUAAGUUCGGAUUGGAGUCUGCAACUCGACUCCAUGAAGGAGGAAUCGCUAGUAAUCGCGUAUCAGCACGACGCGGUGAAUACGUUCCCGAGCCUUGUACACACCGCCCGUCACACCACGAAAGCCAG